MicroRNA precursor from Rattus norvegicus (Norway rat), 106 nucleotides. Ensembl annotates it as microRNA 433. Its record names the gene Mir433. NCBI's taxonomy places the organism in Eukaryota, Metazoa, Chordata, Mammalia, Rodentia, Muridae. The record is from Ensembl.
CCAAUGCCCGGGGAGAAGUACGGUGAGCCUGUCAUUAUUCAGAGAGGCUAGAUCCUCUGUGUUGAGAAGGAUCAUGAUGGGCUCCUCGGUGUUCUCCAGGUAGCGG